Molecule: non-coding RNA, 24 nt
Filed under: Arabidopsis thaliana (thale cress)
Lineage: Eukaryota; Viridiplantae; Streptophyta; Magnoliopsida; Brassicales; Brassicaceae
Source: RNAcentral
UUAGUGAUUAUCAUUUUGGUACUC